AGCGAACGCUGGCGGCAGGCCUAACACAUGCAAGUCGAACGAAGUCUUCGGACUUAGUGGCGGACGGGUGAGUAACACGUGGGAACGUGCCUUUAGGUUCGGAAUAACUCAGGGAAACUUGUGCUAAUACCGAAUGUGCCCUUCGGGGGAAAGAUUUAUCGCCUUUAGAGCGGCCCGCGUCUGAUUAGCUAGUUGGUGAGGUAAAGGCUCACACAGGCGACGAUCAGUAGCUGGUCUGAGAGGAUGAUCAGCCACAUUGGGACUGAGACACGGCCCAAACUCCUACGGGAGGCAGCAGUGGGGAAUCUUGCGCAAUGGGCGAAAGCCUGACGCAGCCAUGCCGCGUGAAUGAUGAAGGUCUUAGGAUUGUAAAAUUCUUUCACCGGGGACGAUAAUGACGGUACCCGGAGAAGAAGCCCCGGCUAACUUCGUGCCAGCCGCCGCGGUAA
RNAcentral lists this ribosomal RNA (449 nucleotides) under uncultured bacterium. Its description in RNAcentral is "partial 16S ribosomal RNA". It matches the Rfam family "Bacterial small subunit ribosomal RNA", at positions 29 to 523 of the family's 1533-position model. The record is from RNAcentral.